ACACGUGGGUAACCUGCCCAUAAGACUGGGACAACUCCGGGAAACCGGCGCCAAUACCGUAUAACAUUUUGAACUGCAUGGUUCGACAUCCAAACGCGGCUUCCGCUGUCACUCAUGGAUGGACCCGCGUCGCAUUAACUAUUUGGUGAGGUAACGGCUCACCAAGGCAACGAUGCGUACCCGACCUGAGAGGGUGAUCGGCCACACUGGGACUGAGACACGGCCCACACUCCUACGGGAGGCAGCAGUACGCAAUCUUCCGCAAUGGACGAACGUCUGACGGAGCAACGCCGCGUGAGUGAUGAACGCUUUCCGGUCGUAAAACUCUGUUGUUACGCAAGAACAAGUGCUACUUGAAUAACCUGGCACCUUGACGGCACCUAACCAGAAAG
Molecule: ribosomal RNA, 392 nt
Filed under: Bacillus thuringiensis
Lineage: Bacteria; Bacillati; Bacillota; Bacilli; Caryophanales; Bacillaceae
Description: bacterial SSU rRNA
Rfam family: Bacterial small subunit ribosomal RNA
Source: RNAcentral